ACGUGGGUGAUCUGCCUCGCACUUCGGGAUAAGCCUGGGAAACUGGGUCUAAUACCGGAUAUGACCUGCCGAUGCAUGCUGGGGGGUGGAAAGAUUUAUCGGUGCGAGAUGGGCCCGCGGCCUAUCAGCUUGUUGGCGGGGUAACGGCCCACCAAGGCGACGACGGGUAGCCGACCUGAGAGGGUGACCGGCCACACUGGGACUGAGACACGGCCCAGACUCCUACGGGAGGCAGCAGUGGGGAAUAUUGCACAAUGGGCGAAAGCCUGAUGCAGCGACGCCGCGUGGAGGAUGACGGCCUUCGGGUUGUAAACUCCUUUCGACAGGGACGAAGCGCAAGUGACGGUACCUGUAGAAGAAGCACCGGCCAACUACGUGCCAGCAGCCGCGGUAAUACGUAGGGUGCGAGCGUUGUCCGGAAUUACUGGGCGUAAAGAGCUUGUAGGCGGUUUGUCGCGUCUUCUGUGAAAACUUGGGGCUCAACCUUAAGCUUGCAGGCGAUACGGGCAGACUAGAGUACUUCAGGGGAGACUGGAAUUCCUGGUGUAGCGGUGAAAUGCGCAGAUAUCAGGAGGAACACCGGUGGCGAAGGCGGGUCUCUGGGAAGUAACUGACGCUGAGAAGCGAAAGCAUGGGUAGCGAACAGGAUUAGAUACCCUGGUAGUCCAUGCCGUAAACGGUGGGUACUAGGUGUGGGUUUCCUUCCACGGGAUCCGUGCCGUAGCUAACGCAUUAAGUACCCCGCCUGGGGAGUACGGCCGCAAGGCUAAAACUCAAAGAAAUUGACGGGGGCCCGCACAAGCGGCGGAGCAUGUGGAUUAAUUCGAUGCAACGCGAAGAACCUUACCUGGGUUUGACAUACACCGGAAACCUGCAGAGAUGUAGGCCCCCUUGUGGUCGGUGUACAGGUGGUGCAUGGCUGUCGUCAGCUCGUGUCGUGAGAUGUU
Molecule: ribosomal RNA, 947 nt
Filed under: Nocardia sp. SG 21
Lineage: Bacteria; Bacillati; Actinomycetota; Actinomycetes; Mycobacteriales; Nocardiaceae
Description: bacterial SSU rRNA
Rfam family: Bacterial small subunit ribosomal RNA
Source: RNAcentral